This 492-nucleotide ribosomal RNA is filed under the name uncultured bacterium. Its description in RNAcentral is "partial 16S ribosomal RNA". It matches the Rfam family "Bacterial small subunit ribosomal RNA", at positions 29 to 507 of the family's 1533-position model. The record is from RNAcentral.
AGUGAACGCUGGCGGUAUGCCUAACACAUGCAAGUCGAACGGCAGCACAGUAAGAGCUUGCUCUUACGGGUGGCGAGUGGCGGACGGGUGAGGAAUACAUCGGAAUCUACUUUUUCGUGGGGGAUAACGUAGGGAAACUUACGCUAAUACCGCAUACGACCUACGGGUGAAAGCAGGGGAUCUUCGGACCUUGCGCGAUUGAAUGAGCCGAUGUCGGAUUAGCUAGUUGGCGGGGUAAAGGCCCACCAAGGCGACGAUCCGUAGCUGGUCUGAGAGGAUGAUCAGCCAGACUGGAACUGAGACACGGUCCACACUCAUACGGGAGGCAGCAGUGGGGAAUAUUGGACAAUGGGCGCAAGCCUGAUCCAGCCAUACCGCGUGGGUGAAGAAGGCCUUCGGGUUGUAAAGCCCUUUUGUUGGGAAAGAAAAGCAGCAGGUUAAUACCCCGCUGUUCUGACGGUACCCAAAGAAUAAGCACCGGCUAACUUCGUG